Xenopus tropicalis (tropical clawed frog) is the source of this 1184-nucleotide long non-coding RNA. RefSeq lists it as uncharacterized. Lineage: Eukaryota; Metazoa; Chordata; Amphibia; Anura; Pipidae. The record is from RefSeq and is a predicted model, not a curated record. The transcript has 8 exons.
CCCCGAUAGGUGCUGUCUCUUGGAAUCGAGUGUAGCAGUCUGCUGUAGUCUCUCCCCCAGACACGGCGCACAUAUACAUUGGUCUCUCUACCGGCCGGAUUCCAGCACCGACACCGGGAGGGAACUGGAAAGAGGAGACUUAAUAACGGACUCAGGAUUUCAGAAAGGCCAAACAUGGACAGGCUGACCUGGUUUAUGAUUCUGUAUUUAAUCCCAGCACUUUUUGUUCUCAUAUGUGAUGGAAGCUCGGUAAUCCUGGAAGAACAAGAUGACGAAAGUGAGAUGGACCAAGGUGGAAGUUCUGGUGAAGGUGUCGGUGAACAGAUGGGAAACAGGGCUGAAGAAUCUAUAAGCGGAAAUGGUAUUGACUCCAAAAUGAAGAUCAGCACCGUGCAAGUGAUAACGACUGUGAGUUCUGUGAUCCUGGGAAUGGGCACCCUUAAAUUAGUUGUUCUAGGUCUCUGAUCCACCACAAGGACACAAAGUUGUACAACAUUACAGAAUCCAGGAGAUCGGAUAACACAUCUCUUGAUGCUACUUUGGUUUAAAAUUGGGCAUUCUUUAGCUUCUCCCAUCUACUGUCCAACUUACUUACAAAUAAAAGGUUUGCUUAGAAGCUGGGCAGGGGCAAAUGUAGCAGUCCCCUAUGGUAAAGUGGUAGAACCUGCCCAACUACAUUCAAUUCGUCGCUUUAUUAAUCUGUAAAAAUAAUUAUAGUUUAUAGGCUAUUUGUGCCAAAAUGGAAUUCCGUUGAAUAUUCCAUAACAAUAUUAUUGCGCUAUAUACAUACAGCAUUGGGUAAAUAUCCAUAGAUUGAAUACAAGCAAAUAUAUUUCAUUUGAUUAUGGACAAUAGGUGGGACCUCCGAUUUUUGGAGGCCUAAGCUUGCUGGGACUAUGCUGGUAAAUCAGGAGCAUUAGCUACUGGUUAAAUAGUUACUACUCGAGGUUGGAAAAGGCAGCCUCUCCCUCAUUCUCCUUGACUUCUGGUUGAUCCAGAGGAAGGUGAAAACCCCCUAUGAACUGUCCCCAAUUUAAUUCUAUUCCUUUCCAUGAAUGUAACAGAUUGGGUUAUUACGCCGUUCUGCUGUUUCUCAUAAUUCUAUUGAAUCUGAUAACCAAUUUAUUAUAUAUCCAUGCAUUUCUAAAUGGAUGUAAAUUUAAUAAAAGAAAUUGAAACCUGUA